This 460-nucleotide ribosomal RNA is filed under the name uncultured bacterium. RNAcentral's name for it is "partial 16S ribosomal RNA". It matches the Rfam family "Bacterial small subunit ribosomal RNA", at positions 338 to 795 of the family's 1533-position model. The record is from RNAcentral.
CCUACGGGAGGCAGCAGUGAGGAAUAUUGGUCAAUGGCCGGAAGGCUGAACCAGCCAUGCCGCGUGAAGGUCAGUGCCCUAUGGGCGUUAAACUUCUUUUGUGCGGGAGCAAUAAUGGUCAAGUGUGGCCAGACGAGAGUACCGUAAGAAUAAGCAUCGGGUAACUCCGUGACCGCAGGCGAGGUUAUACGGGGGAUGCAAGCGUUCUUCGGGUUUAAUGGGGUUAAAGGGUGCGUAGGCUGUGAGGUAAGUCAGCUGUGAAAUGCAACCGCUCAACGGGGUGAAUUGCCAUUGAUACUGCCUGCCUGGAAUGCGGAUGCCGUGGGAGGAAUGUGUGGUGUAGCGGUGAAAUGCAUAGAUAUCACACAGAACACCGAUUGCGAAGGCAUCUCACGAAUCCGCGAUUGACGCUGAUGCACGAAAGCGUGGGUAUCAAACAGGAUUAGAUACCCCAGUAGUC